This 253-nucleotide ribosomal RNA is filed under the name uncultured bacterium. RNAcentral's name for it is "partial 16S ribosomal RNA". It matches the Rfam family "Bacterial small subunit ribosomal RNA", at positions 524 to 776 of the family's 1533-position model. The record is from RNAcentral.
UACGUAGGGUGCGAGCGUUAAUCGGAAUUACUGGGCGUAAAGCGUGCGCAGGCGGCCCGCGAGGUGUCACGUGAAAGCCCCGGGCUCAACUCGGGAGGGUCGUGGCAAACCGGCGGGCUUGAGGCCGGUAGAGGUGGGUGGAACUCCUGGUGGAGUGGUGAAAUGCGUAGAGAUCAGGAAGAACACCCGUGGCGAAGGCGGCCCACUGGGCCGGUGCUGACGCUGAGGCGCGAAGGCGUGGGGAGCGAACAGG